CACCGUCUUGCUUUGAACAUUACUGCUUUCCUUUUGUUCUCCAGGUGGGCUCCUGAUCACCAACAUUUACACGGGGUUUCCUCGAAACUUGAACUGUUUUUCCCUUUGUUCUCUAGGUGGGCUCCUGAUUACCGACACUUGAAUUGUUUCUCCCUUUAUUCUCCAGGUGGGCUCCUGAUUACCGACACUUGAAUUGCUUCUCCUUUUGUUCUCUAAGUGGGCUCCUGAUUACCGACACUUGAAUUGCUUCUCCCUUUGUUCUUUAGGUGGGCUCCUGAUUUCCGACACUUGAAUUGCUUCUCCCUUUGUUCUUCAGGUGGUCUCCUGAUUACCGACAAUUGAAUUGCUUCUCCCUUUGUUCUCCAGGUGGGCUCCUGAUUACCAACACUUGAACUUGUUUUCCCUUUGUUCUCCAGGUGGACUCCUGAUUACCGACACUUUAACUGUUUUUCCUCGGAACUUGAUUUGUUUUCCAUUUGUUCUCCAGGUGGGCUCCUGAUUGUUGAGCUUGAACUACUUCCUCUUGCGACUGCUUUUCCUUUGAGCUGGCUUCCCUUGUUUCUCUAGGUGGGUGCCUGAUUGCUUGAACCUGAACUGCUUUCUAUCUUUGAAACUCGUGUUGUUCUCUCUUGCUCUCUAGGUGGGCGCCUGAUUGCAACAGAAUAAACAAAACAAAGAAAAUUUUUUGCCCCAGUUUGGUAGCUGGGCACAUCGGUGAGUGUUAAUUGAAUCAUGCUACCAAAUAUCUCUAAGAAUUUGAAAGCUAGAUCCCAUUAUCCUGGAGGGUCCUGAAAGCUCCUAGUAAAAUGACAGUUUUAAAGCUAAAUUAUAUUUUCUAAAGGUAUGACUUCCGCUAAAUCUUGUUAUCUAUGAAGGUCUUAAAACUACAUCCCAUUAUCUAGGAGGGUCCUGAAAAUCCAAAUCAAAUCUCAUCUUAAGAGUGACAACUUUAAGGCUAAAUUAUACUUCCCUACGACAGAACUUACGCUAAAUCUUAUUAUCUAAUGGAGGUCUUAAAGCUAAGUCCCAUUAUUCAGAUGGGUCUUGAAAAUUUCCAAUUGAGUCUCGUUCUAAGAAUGAAAACUUCAAAACAAACUUAUAUUUUCACAAAGUAGAGCUUAUGCUAGAUCUUGUUACUCAUGAAUAUUUUGAAUUUUAAAACUAGGUCCCAUAGUCCAAGAGGGACCUGAGAAUUUACGGUCGAACCUGUCUGGUACUUACUUUCCUUACAGAGAGUUUCUUCGAAACAAACAAAAUUUUCUUCCCCUAUUUCAAAUCAAAGAAAAAUUUUGUUAUUUUAAAAUGUGGUGGUUAGUUUAUGGCAUUCUUACUGAAGGUGGCCUCUCUGUUGUCGUGUUUUGCUUUGACUGGUUGCCUUGCAUAACCCGAGCGCUCUGCACCCAAACUGUUGUUUUACAUUUCUAACCCUUCUACCUAAACCUCUGUAUCUCCCACAAGAUUACUAAACCAUUCGACCAAUGGAACUUUCAUUGACACCUUAUUUCCCACUUUAUAUUAUGUUAUCUUUGGUAUGCUUUGGCCGCACUUUGCUUUGUGCAAUUUGGAGGUUUGGUAGUGAGCUUUGAAAUCCUUUCUUUCUUACUUAAACAAGGCUAAAAUUUGGAAAAACCUUAGAGAAAUAAUCCUAAAGAAGUAAAAUUCAAUGAAUUCGAGAGUUAGGAAUAAAGAGGAAAAUCCAAAACUGGAUGACAUGUUUGAAAGAGAAAAGGGAAAGAGACUUAUCUGAGUGGAGCGGCUGGUACCAAUUAUCAUGACAUGCAUUUCGGAUUAAUCAACCCAGCUUAUUCAACCAAUAUUCUUUCAAUCUUCACACUUUUAUGCCCGUGGUUCCCAUAAUCUAACUCCCUUGCCAAGUCAACGACCUUAUUCGGCUUGUAGUGCCCUGAAGGGUUUUCACCAACAAACCUCUCUCAUUUGUUUAUCUCUUAACUUACUGUCGUCUUACGGUGCCCGUGAGGGUUUUCACCAAUAAGACUCUCUCAUUUUUUAUUUCACUCAGCUUUCCAUCGUCUUACGGUGCCCGUGAAGGGUUUCACCAAUAAGACUCUCUCAUUUUUUACUUCCCUGCUCGGAAUGGAGUGUUUCCCCUGAUACGACUCGCCUCUACUUGCUCGACCUAGCAUCUCUCGAUGACUAAUCGAAAGGUCUUUCUUUGGACCGUAAUGUGCGCUUUGGAUAGGGUUAGAAAGAAAGGGUAUUGAAAGGCUCAAAACAAUUUGAAAUGGUUCAAAAUUAUAACUUUUGGAAUCAGAUUUCUUACAACAACCACAACUUUCUGCCCCAGUUUCUUUACUUGGGGACUUUUGAAUUUUAUUUUGACGGGACCGAACUGUGAGGCUGCCUACGUAUCCUUAAAAGGAAUCAGGUCAAACGUAGUUCAUGCAUAGAAAUUACUUUGUUGUUGUGAUUUUUCUCUUUUCUUUUUCUUUCUCUUCUCUUUUUUUUCCAUUUCCCUUUUUGUUGUUUUUUUUCUCUUCUUUUUUUCACUCUUUUUAUUCUUUUCUUUCUCUUUUUCUCUCUUUUCCUUUACAUAUCUUUUGUGUUCGCAUUUCUGAACUUUGCUACUGAUUCCAUAAGAGGGGAAUGAAAGGAAAUAAAUAAGGCUCAAAGGGGUAACAAAGGAUAAAGUGUUUAGAUAGCAGAACAAAAUGCCUUCGUCAUUCCAAUCUUCAAAACAUGCCAAGUACAAACAAACACAAUUUAAACCAAAGAAAUCAUACAUAAUAUCUUUUGACUACAUCAGAACUGAUAGCCAUAUCUACACAUUUGCCUUCUAUAUCUGUUAAAUACAAAGCACCAUAGGACAACACUCUCGUUACGAUGAACGGCCCCUGCCAAUUUGGGGCGAACUUGCCUUUUGCUUCAGCCUAAUGUGGAAGGAUGCGUUUCAAUACUUGCUGACCCACUUCAAAUUUUCGGGGACGCACUUUCUUGUUGUAUGCUCUUGCCAUUCUCUUUUGAUACAACUGGCCAUAGCAUACUGCUGCCAAUCUUUUCUCAUCAAUCAAACUCAAUUGCUCCAAACAGGUUUUGACCCACUCAUCAUCAUCAAUUUCGGCUUCAGCAAUGAUCUGAAGGGAUGUAAUUUCAACCUCCACGGGUAUUACUGCUUCUGGGCCAUAUACAAACAAAUAAGGAGUUGCCCCUACUGAAGUGCGAACAGUAGUGUGAUAACCCAACAGUGCAAAGGGCAACUUUUUAUGCCAUUGCCUGGAACCCUGCAUCAUUUUUCGAACUAUCUUCUUUAUGUUCUUGUUGGCUGGCUCAACUGCUCCAUUCGCCUUGGGGUGGUAUGGGGUGGAAUUGCAAUGCGUAAUCUUAGACUGUUGACACACUUCUUUCAUCAGAUGGUUGUUAAGAUUAGCACCAUUAUCUGUGAUGAUCACCUUGGGGAUUCCGAAUCGACAAAUAAUAUUUGAAUGAACAAAAUUGACCACUGCCUUCUUGGUUACAGACUUGAAAGUUUUAGCUUCAACCCACUUAGUGAAAUAGUCAAUGGCCACCAGAAUGAACCUGUGCCCAUUAGAUGUUGCUGGCUCAAUUGGUCCGAUGACAUCCAUACCCCAAGCAACAAAGGGCCAUGCUGCGGACAUUGUGUGUAAUUCAGAUGGCGGAGAAUGAAUCAAAUCUCCGUGUACUUGACAUUGAUGACAUUUGCGCACAAAACUGAUACAAUCUCGCUCCAUGGUGUGCCAAUAAUAACCUGCUCGGAGAAUCUUGUUUGCUAGAACAUACCCAUUCAUAUGCGGCCCGCAAACCCCGGAAUGUACUUCAGUCAUGAUUGUUGAUGCUUGUCUAGCAUCUAUGCAUCUUAACAAACCAAGAUCUGGAGUCCUUUUGUACAAAACUCCUCCACUGAAGAAAAACCCACUUGCCAAAUGUCGAAUUGUUCUCUUUUGAUCCCCCGUGGCUUGUACUGGAUACACCCCCAUUCUGAUGUACUCUUUGAUGUCGUGGAACCAUGGCUCACCAUCAAGUUCUUCUUCCACCAUGUUACAGUAAGCAUGCUGAUCGCAGACCUGAAUAUGUAAAGGGUCAACAUAAGCUCUGUCCGGAUGAUGUAACAUUGAUUCCAAGGUAGCCAAAGCAUCGACAACCUCAUUAUAGAUCCUUGGAAUAUGCCUGAAUUAUAUUGAUCAAAAUCGUUGACAAAGAUCAUGCAGACAUUGUCGAUACAGUAUAAGCUUUAAGUCCCGCGUCUCCCAUUAUCCUUGAAUCUAGUGCACCAGAAGGUCUGAGUCUCCCAAGACCAAGACUUCCUGGAUUCCUAUAUCUACAGCUAGCCUUAGUCCCAGAAUGCAUUCCUAGUACUCAUCCAUGUUGUUGGUACAAUAGAAAUGAAGCUGAGCCGUAACUGGGUAGUGAUGCCCUAUUUCAGAAAUGAGUACACCUCAUAUCCCAAUGCCUUUCAUGUUAGUAGCCCCAUCAAAGAAGAGUUUCCAACCGGGCUUUUCCUCCUUCUCGACCUCGUCAAUGUGUUUUACCUCUUCAUCAGGAAAAUAAGUCUUCAAAGGUUCAUAUUCUUCGUCCACGGGGUUCUCGGCCAAAUGAUCAACCAAAGCUUGGGCUUUCAACGCCGUCCGAGUCACAUAUACGAUGUCAAACUCUGUGAGCAAAAUCUGCCACUUUGCAAGCCUUCCUGUGGGCAUGGGCUUCUGAAAGAUAUACUUUAGAGGAUCCAGGCAAGAAAUGAGGUAAGUAUUGUAGGACGACAAGUAAUGCUUCAAUUUCUGUGCCACCCAAGUCAGGACACAACACGUCCUCUCAAGGGGAGUAUACUUAACCUCAUAAGAUGUGAAUUUCUUGCUGAGAUAGUAGAUGGCCUGCUCUUUCCUGCCAGUGAUGUCAUGCUGACCCAACACAUAACCAAAUGAGUUAUCCAGGACUGUCAAAUAAAGAAUCAAAGGUCUUCUUGGUUCUGGUAGGACCAACACAAGUGGGUUCGACAAAUACUCCUUGAUCUUAUCGAAGGCUUCCUGGAACUCAUCGGUCCAAUUGACCGCAACAUCCUUUUUUAGCAAGUUGAAUAUGGGCUCACAAGUUGUUGUGAGCUGAGCUAUAAACCUGCUGAUAUAGUUUAGCCUCCCUAACAAACUCAUCACCUUGGUCUUGUUCUUUGGCGGAGGUAGUUCCUGAGUAGCUUUAAUCUUUGACGGAUCCAAUUCAAUGCCCCACCGGCUGACUAUGAAUCCCAAAAGUUUUCCAGAUGGGACACCAAAUGCACACUUUGCAGGGUUGAGUUUAAGAUUGUACCUGUGGAGCCUUUGGAAGAACUUUCUCAAAUCUCUGCCGUGGUCAGACUACUUCUUGGACUUUAUGAUCACAUAAUCCACGUAAACCUCAAUCUCUUUGUGUAUCAUAUCAUGGAAUAUGGUUGUCAUUGCCCUCAUAUAAGUUGCCUCGGCAUUUUUCAAACCAAAAUGCAUGACCCGGUAGCAAUAUGUUCCCCAUGGUGUGAUGAAUGCCGUCUUUUCCGCAUCUUCCUCAUCCAUUAAAAUCUGAUGAUAGCCCGCAUAGCAAUCCACAAAAUACCCAAUCUCAUGUUUGGCACAACUAUCAAUCAAAAUGUGGAUAUUUGGCAAUGGGAAGUUGUCCUUUGGACUUGACUUAUUGAGAUCAUGGUAAUCAACACAUACUCUGGUCUUACCAUCCUUCUUUGGCACAGGCACAACAUUGGCUAACCACGUGGGAUACCGCUUGACUCGAAUUACCUUUGCAUCAAAUUGCUUUGUGACCUCUUCUUUAAUCUUCACACUCAUGUCGAUUUUGAACUUUCUCAACUUCUGCUUGACGGGAGGGAAUGCUGGAUCAAUUGGCAAUUUGUGGACUACCAAAUCGGUACUUAAGACUGGCAUGUCGUCAUACGAUCAUGCAAAGAUAUCCUUAUACUCAAACAAUAUUUUAAUUAUUUCUUCCCUGAUUUGUGGUUCAAGAUGGACACUUAUCUUAGUUUCUCUGACAUUUUCUAGGUCCCCUAGAUUGAUUGCUUCUGUAUCAUUCAGAUUAGGCUUGAGUUUUUCUUCAAAAUGACUUAGUUCCUUACUAAUCUUUUCAAAGGCCUCAUCCUCAUCAUAUUCUGAUUCAUCACCACACUCUAUUUCUUGGAUUAUUAUUUCAGAAUUAGAUUGACUUUUAAGACUGGACCGAAGAUUCCUCAUACAUGUCAUGUCAUUAAAACCAGCAUAAAAAGAACUGUACAGAGAAGAAAAGAAAAUAAAAAUAAAACUAUCAGGAAUGAUGGAAAGGGAAAUUGCAUUUCAUUAAAAUAAAGGAUAAUAGGGUUUGUACAUCAACAAGCAAAAAAUAAAAGUCUGGGUCACAACCCUGGAAUGACCUAGAUAGAAAGGAAAACAAAACAAACUACCAAGACUCUUUCCUAGUAGGGAGAGGAGUAGCCUUCCAAUUGUUAAACUUUGCAUUCGGCCCGACGAACUGCACGUCUACUUUGCUAGAACCUUCUCCAAAUUCCACCAUGUUCACAUCAUCAAACAACCUCUAGAACCUUUUAAUUAACUCCUCAUCAAUGUCAACCACAGAACUUGGGACCGUCGUCACUGGGCGUUUCCUGGCACCAGGCUUGACAAAGGACCUGGAGAGACGGGGAACAGGCUAUGGAAGUGCCCACACCUUCUGUUUCAACCUUUUAGCCCUUUUCACAUCUGCCGUUGUAGGUUUGAAUCCAAGAUCGAACGUACCCAAAUUUUUAGGGAGGGACACUGGUUGUACGAUACCAUGCAGAGAUGCACCCAGACCUUUACCGGGCACAAAACCAUUUUUUAGCAUUUCAAAGCCACCAUGGUAGAUGUAGAGGUUAUCUUAGUAGUUGGAAUACAUUUGCCCUCUGGAGCUUUCUCGACCGACACUAUUUCAAAAACCUGAUAGACCCAGGGCCCUUUGUCAUCUUCAACCUCAAUGAACGGGAUAAAGGCAUCACUGUGAGCACACAAGUUAUCUUCACCAUGCACGACGAUCUCCUGUCUAUCCCAUUUAAACUUGACCAUCUGGUGCAGAGUGGACAGGACUGCUUUGGAAGCAUGAAUCCAAGGUCGACCUAAUAGCAAAUUGUAAGAGAUGGCUACGUCCAGCACCUGGAACUCCAUGGUGAAUUUCACUGGUCCUAUUGUCAACUCAAGCACUAUAUCACAAACUAAAUCUUUCCAUGUACCGUCAAAUCCCCGAACGCAGAUGAUGUUCUUAUGAAUCCUCUCAUCAUCCACUUUCAACUUGUUCAGAGUAGAGAGAGGGCAGAUGUUUGCACUAGAACCAUUGUCGACUAAUACCCUAGUAACCACAGAAUCUUCACAUUUUACUGUAAGAUAGAGAGCUCUGUUAUGUUCAGUACCUUCCACAGGCAACUCAUCAUCAGAGAAGGUGACCUUGUUCACCUCAAAUAUUUUGUUGGCGAUCUUUUCCAGAUGGUUUACUGAAAUUUUGUCGGGAACAUGAGCCUUGUUCAGAAUUUUUAUCAAGGCUCGACGAUGCUCGUCUGAGUGGAUUAACAAUGACAACAAUGAAAUUUGAGAAGGCGUCUUUUUCAAUUGCUCCACAAUGGAAUAAUAUUGUACCUUCAUUUUUCUCAGAAACUCCUCCGCCUCUUCUUCAGUCACUGCUUUUUUCACUAACACUGGGUUAUCUCUGGAUGUUUUAGCUUUCCUUAACUCUUCCGGGGCAAAGUAUCUCCCCGAACGAGUUAAUCCCUGGGCCUCAUUGGCUUCUUCUUUCACUUCCUUUCCCUUAUAGGUCAGUAUCACCCGUUCAUAGUUGCACGGGAUAGCCUUGUUGUUGACUAUCGGCAACUGGGUUAUAGGCUUGAUGAUGACAGGAUCCAUACAGGCACCCUCUACAGCUAUGAUAGGCUUGUUUGCCGCUCCUGGCACAACCACUUUUGACUUUUCUUUCUUCUCCGCGACAUCACUUGGGGGUCCUUACUUGACUAGCACAGAUGGUUCACUGUUUGCCCUACUCAACUUGUUCACUGAUCCUUCAACUGUUGGUUUUUUAAUUAGCUUGACCUCACUGGACUGAAUCAUCAUGACAGUUUGUGAAGGCUUCUUGGGCUCCCCUCCCUUAUGUACUAUCUCGAUCAUGUUUGUUUCCUGAUGGGUUGGAAAUGGGUUCUGGUUGAUGUUAGGUGCCUAUGGAGUUUGGACUUCAAUCCGGUUUGUGUCAAUGAGCUCCUGGAUGGCGUUUUUCAAGUGGCAGCACUUCUCCGUAUCAUGCCUCGGAGUACCAGAACAAUAUUCACAGCUUAUAAAGUAAUCAAGAUUCUUUGGAGGAGGGUUUGACAAUUUUGACUCAAUUGGCCUCAGCAUAUCUAAUUGCCUCAAUAUGUGGAACAAACGAUAUAAGACUCCCCCAAUGGGGUAAAGAUUUUCUUCUAUUGUAUCCUCUUAUUUUUUAAAUGCUAGAUUAGGUCGGAAACCUGGGCCGGUAGGGUUUCGGUACACUCGUGGAGGUGGGUAAGCAUUUUGUGGAGCUGGGUAGGUGUUUUGUGGGGCUGGGGAACACCAUUGUGCGUAGGUAGGAGGUUAAGUAUAUGUUUGGGCAUGGUGGACAGAAAUAUGAGGGAAUGCUGAUGGGAAGUAGUGUUGGGUGGAUUAUAUGGAGGUUGGGUGUAGGUUCGGUGAUGGGGUCGCAGCUGGGUAUAUCGGUGAUGGACAUAACAGUGCUCUCUUUCUGCUUUGAAAUCUUUUGCCUGCUUGGUCAUCUUGUUCUCAAGGACGAUGAUCUUUUUCUUCAACCUCAUGACUCCAUUGUCAUAUUUCUCUUUUAAUUGUUGAACCAAGCGUGCUCGUUCCUCCGCAUUCUUGGCCAAUUUUGUUUGAGCCCUUGCCAGUUCGCCCUCGGCCUUUUUCAGAUCAAAACCAUAUUCACCCACUUUCUGCCUAAGGUUACAUAUAAACUUUUCAUCUUUUGCACUUCUAGCGGGGUUUUCAGCUACUAUUUUCAUUUCCUGGAUUUGGGCUCGAAGGGCGUCAUUUUCUUUGGCUAGCUUUUUCUUUUUGCCCUCAUCCGCGGCGGCUUGCAAACCAUUCUCAAACUGAAGAUCCCUGACUUGUUUUUCCAGUUUGCCUAUUGUGGCCCUAUACUCGUUCUCCUUGGCCAACCAAGCCCACUGUUCUUGCGAUACUUCAACAAAUUCCUGAAUGUGAGGCUUUUUGGUUGGUCUUUCAGGUUUGGCCCUUGUGGUGUUCUUUUUUCUAUACCAGGCAAGAUAGGCUGGUGAGACCUCGCCUCUAGAUAGGUCACACACUCGAGUGUUUGCUGUCAAAUACUAGCACUCAAUCCAAAUAUGACGAACUGUUUCUUUAUGAAAUUGGCCGUCGGAGCUGACUUCGACCGCAUAAACACUAAGAUCUUCAUCUGGGUGCGUCACCUGGCAUCUUCCCAACUGUCUCAUUACCUAGUAUGAAGCAUAAGGAUGAAUGCCUUGAAGACCCAUUAGAAGGAGGUAAGGCCCGGUGGCAGGCAUAUACAUAAUUUCUUCAACAGGAAGCCAACCCAGUGUCUGCUAUAUUUGCCCCGCAGUGAUGGAGCGAAGGCGGGGUACCCAAUCUCCAAACCCUUCUGGCAGCUUGAACCUUGAAAUUCUUGUGUCUAACUCUUCAAUGCAGCUUUUCUCCAUGGACCCAUAACUCAUAUACUGAGGGCGGUGAGACAGAUGCUGGAUCAUCCACAUUUGUAACAGCAAAUGGCAUCCUUCGAAAAAGUUUGCCCCAGCUUUACAAGCUGUGAGAGCUCGGUAUAUCUCAGACACUAUCAUAGGGGUGAGAGUGCUCUUGGCAUUGGUAAUAAAGAUAUUGAUGACUCCAGCCACCCGCAGAUCCAUAUUCCCAUCCUUUCGGGGAAACACCACGAGGCCUAAGAAGGCUACCAUGAAAACGAAACGCCUAUGCUCAUCCCAUUUUGCUCGGUUCCCUUUGCUACAAACCCCACUCUCCGGGUUGUCAAAUCCUCCUACAUGCCCGUACAUUUGGUAUAUGAAGCGUAGAGUGGAAAAACCGACCGCCAAAUCUGCGUACUAGACCCCACUACUUAUUUUUAGCAAAUCCAAGAACUUGUGAGAGGUAACGGUUCUUGGAGCGACCAGAUACUUAUGCCUUAGACCUUCAGUACUUCCCAUAUAACCUACUAUCUCUUCCAAGAUAGGUGUGAGUUCAAAAUAUGAGAAGUGGAGGACGUUGUGAGCUGGGUCCCAAAAUGUUACCAGUGCCCUUAUUAUGUCUCCUUUAUGCCUAAUCUUCAUCAAUCCGGUGAGCCCUCCCAAAUAAAGGUUGACCACAUCUCGUCCUUCUUUACCCAAAUCUUCCCACCACAUGAGUAGAUCCAAUGGAAUCUUGGACAUGACCUUUAUUGGUAAAUUUUGACUCGUGCUCAUUCUACACUUUUAGAUUAGGGUGAUUGGUUUACACACAAAGUGAAUCUCAUUUAAAAAACUAAUAAAAGGGGUUAUUUUGCAAAAAUCAAGAAGUCAGGGCUACUUUUGCGAAUACGGCCCUCUAACACUUUGAAAUGGAAGUUUUUAGGGCUGUGAUCACUAAGUGGCCAAAAUUUAACAAAACACAGUCAGUGACUAUUCUUGCAAAAACAGCCUUCCGGUGUCCCGUUGAGACAUUAGGCUAUUUAGACAAGAACGGCAUUACCCACUUUAUUUACGACAAAAUGACGACACUUCAUAUAUUUUUUCAAAUUUUUUCAAAAAGCGGAGCUGGACCUGAUAAGGGUUGCCUAUGUAUCCCACAUCCGGUGAGAAUCAAACAUGCGUAGUUUGGCUAGUUUUGACAUGAAAAAACAAAAAUCAUUUUGGACUAAUUCUUCUCUUUUCAAGAAACUUCUUUUUCAAGGAAUUCUUUUUCUUCUCUUUUUUCAAAAAUUCGGCAGAGUUUCGAAACAUUUUGGGCAUCAUUUUUGGGAAACGGGUGAAAUCCUCUCUCAUACCUCAACUCGGGUUUUCUUUUGGUUUUCCUCACUCAAUCUAGAAGCUGGUCAACAUGCAAUCCAAAACAAAUUAAAUGCACAGGUAGCACAUAGAAUGCAUCAGGUUGGUCUUUUACUUUCGGAUGCACCUGUCCUAGACGGACCCAACCCCUGUGUUGAGUCCCCAAAGUCAAAUGCACAUGGUGCAAACAAGCGUUCCUACUAGGGAUCCGACAUAAGGCUAAGUUAUUCUAAGUUUAAAACCUGGAUGUAUUGUUCUAGACCUGGCUUACACGAGCAGACAACUCGAGCCGAUGGGGGGAAGCAUACCGGUAACCAAAAGAUCAUCCAGCUUUGCAACUUGUCCGAACCUCGUUCUAAAUUGGGAUAUGACACUAACAGAAAGAAGUCACGCCAGUGUGCACUCCUCAGAAGAUAGAUGAGAGAGGUUUCAUAGCAGUUUAUAUAUACAGAUCAGAUAAUAUCAAAGCGGUAAAAGGCAACAUUUAGCACAUUAGGCCCAAACAUGUAGAUAAAAUCAGACAAUAAGCCGAAUAUAACAAUUAUUCUAAGCUCGAAUUCUUGAACCCUGAACCAGAGAUUCUGGGUUCGUAUCCCCACAGAGUCGCCAGAUCUGUCACACCUCUUUUUUCCUACCCCCGAAAAGUUAUAUAAGGGGAGAUUUUUCCAAUUCAAGUGACAAUCGAAACGGGAUUAUUUGUUUUUAAAAAAAAUCAUAGUCGCCACUUGGAAUAAUUUAUGGUGUCCCAAGUCACCGGUUCAAAUCCCGAAUCGAGGAAAGGUUGACUCUGGUUUAUAGUCCGCGAAUACAGAAAUUCGGGUAAGGAAUUCUAUUAACCCGAGAGAAGCUUUUAGGCAUUCCUGGGUCCCGUGGUUUUAGCACGGUCGCUCAACGGUUAUUAUUGGCCUAUUUAUUUGAUUUUAAAACAUCUUUGAAACCUAUGUGCAUUUUUAUUCCUUUUAAACCGCUUUUAAUAAUUUGAUUGUUAUACAACUAAUUAUUUGAUUACACGUUGCGAAUCAUGUUACAGGAGUCGUACCCAUGAUCCGCAACAUGUUUAUUUUUAAUAACAAAAUUAAAUUGUGGCCGGGUCGCAUAAAUGCACCCCCGGGUUUUAGGAAUUAAGUAUCAUGACCACAUCACGGGAACCGUACCCGUAGCUAUGACAAUUAUUUAAUUAACGCGCCUAAAGCAAACUACGAAAGCUCAAGGCAUUUUCUAUACUAAUUUGGUAUUUAUGUAAGGGCCAUACAUUAUGGAUUUUAUUUGCGUAUGGCGCACCUCAAUUUAGUUUAGGAAAAGAAUUUGUAUUUAGCUAAGGCAAACCUUAAAUACUCCUACUUAUACCUAAUUUUAAAAGAAACUAAGAAUCACAACCACGUCACGGGAAUUGUACCCGUAGUUGUAAUAACUUAAUUACGCGCCUAAAGAAAACUACGAGAUUUAUUUUAGUAACUAAAUUAUAAAAUAUGAGGGCCAUAGAUUAUAUGAUUCAAAUGUAUGAAUGGCACACGCCUCAAAACUAUUCAACUAGAUGAAUUAAGGAUAUUCAUAUUUAAAGCUAAUUCAAAAUUUAGCGUCACAACUACGUCACGGGAACCAUACAUGUAGUCGUGACGUUUCAAAAAAGGGCCUACAACGAACUAUGUGGUUCACAGUUUUGUUAUUCCUUACAUUGAAAUUAUUUUACAAAAAAAACCAAGAUUACAAAAGGGGUUAUAGGCUUGAGGGAAACGAUUCAGUUGAUUCAACACUUAAGGAAAGAUUAAUCACAAUCCCAUAUCUUGAUCCAUUCACGAAUAAGUCAAGCACAAUGACAAAGAUGUGGCAUUCAAGAAAACAUAGAGGAUUACUAUCUAACAAACAAAAGCAGAAAUGAUAAUAAUAGGGUUAACAAAAUGGUGUAGAUUUUCAAUAUGAUUAAAUCUUGCAUUUCCCUCCCUUUCCGAAGUGAGCUCUCAGUACUAAAACAAGACAAAUUUAGUAAGAUCAAAUCCACCGAGCCUCAAAGACGCAAUGGCCAAACAUCAGAUCAAAGAGUCCAAUAAUUGAUAGGCAACAAUAACAUAAAUGGCACCAAAUAUUCCAUCCACAUAAACUGGAUGCCUAAGCUACCAUACUUGGAUUGCAAACAUAAAACUAUCUUGCAAAUCUGUAUUAGGCCUAAAUCUCAACUUUUCUACAUCUAAAUCCAAAUGAAACAGCAAGAGUGCUCAAUGCAAAAAUCAGUUAAAGCUUCAAACAAACCAAAUCCAUCACUGAAGUAGUAACACAUGGUUAACAAUUCCAGAACGUUAUACUACCCUAAAG
RNAcentral lists this long non-coding RNA (13270 nucleotides) under Nicotiana tabacum (common tobacco). RNAcentral describes it as "long non-coding RNA (NTAB_LNC010835)". Lineage: Eukaryota; Viridiplantae; Streptophyta; Magnoliopsida; Solanales; Solanaceae. The record is from RNAcentral.